UACGUAGGGGGCAAGCGUUAUCCGGAUUUACUGGGUGUAAAGGGAGCGCAGACGGCAGUGCAAGUCUGGAGUGAAAGCCCGGGGCCCAACCCCGGGACUGCUCUGGAAACUGUACGGCUGGAGUACGGGAGGGGCAGGCGGAAUUCCUAGUGUAGCGGUGAAAUGCGUAGAUAUAUGGAAGAACACCAGUGGCGAAAGCGGCUCUCUGGUCUGUAACUGACGCUGAGGUUCGAAAGCGUGGGUAGCAAACAGG
RNAcentral lists this ribosomal RNA (253 nucleotides) under uncultured bacterium. Its description in RNAcentral is "partial 16S ribosomal RNA". It matches the Rfam family "Bacterial small subunit ribosomal RNA", at positions 524 to 776 of the family's 1533-position model. The record is from RNAcentral.